UGAAUAUAAUAUCAUCAUAUCUCAUCAAGAGCUAAUAAAAUCUCCAAGUAGCCAUGUCAUAUAAAUCAGACUACAUUACUAAAUAUAAAAUCUCAUCUCAACAUACUGAGUGAUAAAAUGUCAAAUAGACAAUAAGCAUAAACAGCCAAACGCCCUACUCAGAGCUGACACACUAAGACUCUGGAAACGAAAGACAUAGCUCCAAAGCGAACCUCCAACAGCUCACCAAGCAAAGCAAACUACUCCUGCACAUCGUCUACUCAUCCAUACGAACAAGGUAGGCGGUCAACCAAAUGACCACUAGGGGUUAGUUCACAUUUCAUAAAUUAAGUAAAAUCAAAUGAAAAGCAAACAACACUAUUAAAUUUUCAAAUGAUUAAUAAACUCAACAUCAUCAUAAAUCAUCAAGUAUACAAGUACAACCAAGCAAUGCGUAAAACUCACCUUUUUCGAGUAUGCACAUACACACCAAUUGACAUAUCCAAGUAUGACUCGACUCACCAAUUAACAAAUGCAUGCAAUGUUCUAGACUCAUCUAGAUGCAUGUGGUACCAUUAGGAUUCCAGAGAUAAUUUUACCGUUAAUGAAUCCACCAACAUAAUAAACGUCACCAAUUAUGUUCUGCUCUACACUUUCAGUGCAUUUCUUUUCUACUACGGGGUUGGGGGUCAGCACUGUGGUGCUGUUUGGUGUCACCAGAGCCUUGCCGCUAGCGGGCCUCCUGUUCUCUAGGAUUUAAGAUUUGGUUGCUUGGUUGUUGUUGCUCGAAAGAGCUGGGUGUGCAGAUGCUUCGUAUUGACGGAGUAGUCGUUUGUCGUACCUUAAGCCUUUAUGACCACUCUGUUGCUAGUGACUGCAGGUCCUUCACGAUUAAUCCUCCUUCUUCGCAAUUUUUGGAUCGUUCGUGGUCGUAAGGAUCGUGGUUGUUUGUGGUUGUUUAGCCGGUGGUUGUGGUGUGGGCCGGUCUAUUCAGGUUC
Molecule: long non-coding RNA, 977 nt
Filed under: Medicago truncatula (barrel medic)
Lineage: Eukaryota; Viridiplantae; Streptophyta; Magnoliopsida; Fabales; Fabaceae
Description: long non-coding RNA (MTRU_LNC003330)
Source: RNAcentral